AAUCCAUAGCUGCUUCUCCAGUGAAUCACAAUUGGUUCAUUGUGACAGUCCAUGUCAUGUAGCUUCUGGGAAACUCCCCACUCCACCCCAGAGAGAAUGAGAGUGAAGAGGACAAGUAAUAUCUUAAUCAUCUCAGUAUCUGGAAGACAACAGUUUUGGCCUUGAAGGCCCCACCCACCACUGGGUCUAGGGACCUCCCAGGAGUCCUCAUGCCACAUUUUGAGAAUCACAGCUCUGCACAAUCUUCAGGAUCAAUGACACCUACAUCUAGGCCGUGGUGAAAUGAGAAGUAACGGAGUCCCAGCAGUAAUGCGGCGCUUGGCUGGCCCCUGGCUUCGGUAGACGCUCCUUCCCCAGAAUGCUUCCUUCCAUGCGCAGAGGGGUCUUCCGUCUGUAACCCCUGACCUCUCUCUGCGCCUACGCCCUCUUCUCUUCCCCAGGAAGAUGUGUGACCUAUCUCAUUGGUAAAUUUGGGGAGAUAAAACUGAGGCUGUCUCUGGAAGAGCACAUGCUCUCUGCUCCUCCACGAUUAAACACAGGAGUCCUGAGCUGGAUGGGCAAAUCUACUUGACGCGGUUGGCUUUGAGGCUAUUGGAACCGGAGCUGCAUCUUCUAGACUGACCUCUGCCGAUCCAGGUAUGUCUUUAUCAGCAGCAUGAAAACGGACUAAUAUAAGGGGCAACUCUGGGACCUGGGAAGAAACCAGAAGGUAAGUGGCUUGGAGCAAAGUGGGUCUUCAUGGCUCACUGGAAAACCCUCCCUAGGCUUGGCAUUUCCUUUCUCGUGGCAUUGUCAAAGGGAACAUUCUAUUGACAUCAGAGGAUGAAUUCUGCUUCAAGGAGUGAGAAAGUACAGAGGGUUUAGUCUUCACCCCUCUCAGACGCUUGCCCGUGCUGUGAACCACUGUCGGAGGAAGGAGGAAAAUCUGUGGGUUCAGCCCACAGGGAGCUCAGCUGGUACCCACAGCAGUCUGUAGAGCUCUUCUCAGCUCGUUAUCAAGCCUAAUAUUCCAAUGGCCCACAUUUUAUUCUUUAUAUUCUCAGAUAUAAUUUCCUAUUAAAAAUACAAAUCCCCACAAAA
Long non-coding RNA from Pan troglodytes (chimpanzee), 1080 nucleotides. RefSeq lists it as uncharacterized. The record is from RefSeq and is a predicted model, not a curated record. Lineage: Eukaryota; Metazoa; Chordata; Mammalia; Primates; Hominidae. The transcript has 3 exons.